UGGACCUCGGAUCAGGU
RNAcentral lists this ribosomal RNA (17 nucleotides) under Caliciopsis pinea. RNAcentral's name for it is "partial 28S ribosomal RNA". Lineage: Eukaryota; Fungi; Ascomycota; Eurotiomycetes; Coryneliales; Coryneliaceae. The record is from RNAcentral.